GCUGGGCUGCCGUGCAUAAGGACUUUCCUCACACUUAGUCUGUUUUUCUUUAGCCAUUUGAAGUACUGGCAUACCUUGUCAUCUUAGUUCCUCUCAUUUUCCUCUUUCCUAUUCUCAUUGUGCUUACUCUCGUCUCACUCUUAUUUUCUACUUGUAAUGGCUUUCUUAGUUUUCUCCUACAGUAAGAAAACAUAAUUCAGCUCCUUAAUACACGUCAAACCAAACUCUUCCACACCUAGUCAUUAAACCCUAAAGCCCAUUUUACCGCUGCAGGCACUGUUCCAGCUGCUGUUGAUACUUCUACUACUAAUGAUGACACCUUCCCAUCCUUGUGUCAAAGACUUUCAACUUUUGAGGCUCGUGAUAUUCAGUUAGCCAACAUUUGUAAUUCAUUUUAUGAUACAGAUCACAACUCAUUUUGAGUUCCUAAACUAAUUUAAUUUACUGUGAGAAACGUUUCAAAAAUGAUCCAAGUACAUACAAAGGGUAAAUAUUAUUUCAAUGCUGGGGACUGAGCCCAGAGCAGUGUGCACAAGCCAAGAUUUUCGGAAAGCUGCAUUUCCAACUCUCAACUGUAUUUAAAUAUGUUAAUAUUGUAUCUUCACUGUAACAGUAUCUCCAAAACUAUGAAACACCUCUCCAGGUUUACUGAUUAUCCAGGUUUCCUGGUUAUCCAGGUUUCCUGGUCUCCAGGUUUACUGGUUAUCUUCUGCUACCUAGGCACUGGCGAUCUAACACUUGAACUGUUUUUCUCACUCAUUCAUUUCAUUGGAUGAUCUGUAGAUGAUUCUAUCUUCUACCUUAAUUUGCUACUUUAUUUUUUUUUACUGCAUUUAAUAUCUCAUACACUGGCUCCAGUAAUAUUUAGAAAAUCCACAAACAUGCAUGCAAGAGUAGGUGGACCCUUCUGCCCCAACUCCCAGUGAGUUUGUCAAAGCCAGAGAAAGUAAUACUAACUAGCAAAAUCUUUUCUGGGGGUGAGGUUGGAGAGAAAGGUUUGUAAUGUGACAGCUCUAGACUUUCCAGUCACCCAUCUUGAAGAAAGUGUUCCUAGAUCAUCACUAGUACCAUUCCUAAAGUGACAAGAACAAGGGGCAUUACAACUUGGGUGUCAAAUAUAAAAAUAGAAGCAGGACAUCCAAAGCAUUCAAACUAAUGUCAUUGAGCCUGUGCUAAAAAGUCUGCGGAGUGGGUACAUGUUAGCUAGAGGAGAAUUUAAAACUGUUGGCAGUGACAACAGCAUAGCCAUCCAAUAUGUACUUACUGAUACUGGACUGCGUACUUCAAAAUGUACAGUGGCAUGCAUGUUACUACUACAAAAACCAAGAGUAUUAAAUAUGUUUCUAUGAUUAAAUAUAUUCUUAUGCUUGACUAAAUAUACAUAUUUGGCUGAAGUGAGGGGUUAUAUUUAACAGAUUAAACUUUUAAAAAUAGAAGCUAUGUCUUUUUGACUCCUUUAACAUUGUUGGUCUUUAAUUCUGAUUUAACUUUUAUGAUUGUAACUUUCUUGCUUUUUAAAAGCACUUGUUAUCUAGCUCAUUAUUUAUAAACUUUCUGUGCUAUUUUGACUAAAAUAUGCUUUUAAGUAGCAUUCAGCUGUUUUUAAUUUUCCUUAGUGCAAUUUCAAAGGACAAUGCCUUUUUCUUUUAGCACAUCAUGUUACAUUUACAUUUUCUGGGAUGACCAAUAGUAGAAAUAUUUGUGGUAUUUACUUUCCCUAUUCUAAUUAAUAGUACUUAACUGAGUGUUUUAUUCCCUCCCACCCCCCACCAAGUAAGUUUUUCUUGCUUUAAAAUUUGUUGCCUUUUUCUGCAUUUGAAAUGAGAUUUCAAUUACAAAAUAACAAACUAUUCUCAAAGGAGGGUAUGAAAACUGUUAGAUAGCUCUUGGCAUAGUACAAAGAAGGCUCUAUGAGAAGACAGACAGAGGCCCAUAGUGUCAGAAAUGCUCAUAAGAAGCUAACCUCCCCGUGGGGUGAACAGUACUGUCACACAGGGAAAGACUGGUCAGUACCUGUGUGCUGGGUGUGGCAGCACUUGAGUUCCGGUUCUACACAGCAAUAUAAUUGUUUUACAGUUAAGAGUUCUUGGUUUGCACGGAUUACAAAGUGGCUGGACCAAUUUACUGCCUUUCAAAUGCUCUCAUAGAGCUGAUGGAUGACCUAACAGACUUUAGCAGGUCCAUACUUCAGCAAUGGUGUAUAACUGAGGCUGAAUAUAUAGGUCAGCUAAAAUCCAAAUGCCCUUCUGCAUUCCUCUUACUACUAAGGUAAACAAGGUUUUUAUAACUUGCUGGAAACAAUGUAGGCAUUUAAGUAACUUUCCAUGGUCUAAACUAGAGUUCACUUUCAUUGGGAAUACCCUUCCUUGUUGUGAAAAAGAACUGAUGUUUGCCACCUUCUGUAUUACAGAAUCUGUAAGAAGCACACUGGGUGGGAUGAGGUAGCUGAAAUAGAAGACAUCAAUAUUGCCUUGAACAGGUACCUGCAAGUUAUUCAGAGGGUCUAGCUUCAUGACAGGGCCCAAAGUACUGAGAGGCAGAGACAUGAAUGUUGAUUUGGUAACAGUGGAGUAUCAUGACCAAAGACGUGCUUGGGGAGAUAUCAAAGCUGUUCUUGGUAGACUGUACUGUCACACAAUGCAGAGUUUUAGUAGAGAAGUUUAUUUCCAUGUAGAUGUACCUGUAGUGGUAUGUUAAUGUUCCCUAAAUCUCCAAGCUUUUGUCCUUUAACUCUUCCCAACCUGUGGACUGCUGUUUUGUCCUAUAGACACUGUCCUUCCCCUUAAUCCCUAUCUCAUCCACUUAGAUGCCAAGAUUCAAAUCACAGGACUUGGAUCUUCACAAAUCUGUUGACAGCUAUGAUGUUUGUGUUUAGGUGACUCUUGGCAUAACUCAGUGAAAAAAGGCAUCUGUUCCAGGUUGUAAGUCUGUAUGUACUGUAUAGGAAAGAGAAAGCAAACAUCUUCCUGACAGUCAGGGGCAAUCACUUUCUUCAUAUCUUCCUUCUUUGAGUUUGGCUUUUGAGGGGGUGGGGUGGCUUGAGACAGGGUCUCACUAGACAUCUCUGGCUGUCUUAGAACUCACUGUGUAGAUCAGACUACCUUUAAUUCCAAAGAUUUGUCUAUCAGCAUCCUCAGUGCGGAGAUUAAAGACAUGUGCCACUAUAACAGGGUGACUUUGGCUUUUAAUUUAAAAAUGUCUCCCUUUUUAACUGGUUGUGAAGUACUAGAAAUCAGUCACGAUUUGGGAUAGAACAUGCACCAGAGGCAAGGGUACGGAGGGAAUGAUAACCAGAGAGCCUAGCUUAAUAGGCUGUUCCUUUUACAAUUCUCUCUCUGGGACUAAAUGUUGUAAUUUUCAUUCAAUUUUAUUUUAUUUUUUGAUAUAUUUUUCUAUUAUCAGGCUUGAUGUACAUUUUACUUCUUUAAUUACAACAUUAUGCUUCUACAGUUUUAAGAAUUAAAAAAUUGAUUAAAUAUCAGUUAUACUUAGCCCCAAAACUUUAGAUUUAGUUACCAAAGCUUCCUACAUUUGUGUUUCUUUUACUGUACUCAGCUUCCAUUUUGUUAGAAAAAAAUCCUCAAUGAUUUGCAAUAUAGAGUUCAUAGAAAACUUAUGAACCUUUAAAACCACCAUGCUUCCAUUCUUUCUACAGAGUUCCUGUUACAUAAUAAAACAAAACUAUAAAUUUGCACGUCUCUGUUUUCUCUGUCAUAUUUGAAUCACUGCCUCAAAUGAUAGAAUUCUAGUUUAAGCUUUCUUUCAUAAAAGUCUCCUUAUAACUUAGGGAUAUGAACUAAGUUUUCUCAUUACUAUAUUGUCAUUACUUCUUUUUCAAGUUUUAUAUACUCUUGUUUGUUAAUUUGUGUCAGCAAAUUUAUUUCAAGACCCUGGCUGGCUUCCUUGGCUGACAGGGAAAGGGAGAAAUCUGUAAUCAAACAGGAUUUCUGUCAGUGAUAUGCACUAGAAGGUAUGUAAUUCUCUGCCCUUCUGUUUGCCAUAAAUUGCCUGAGCAUCCAUUUAAUUUAAUUUACUUUUUUUAUUUUAUUUUUAGGACACACUACAUAAAUCCUAAAUGCCCUGGAUUAGCAGUUCUAAGAUGAACUAGCUCAGUCCAGUGGCAGCCAUUUAAUCACGACUCCUGUUAUAUAUACAUUCACUAGCCUCCACUGUUCUCACUAGUGAGUGUCUCAGAAUUCUCUGAGAAAAGUCUAAGUUAAUAAAACGGAAUGCUUUAGUUUUGAUCAUGAAGAUAUAAGUUAUUUGUUAUAUUUUAUUGCUUUUACAGUCUUCAUCCUUUUGGAAACUGGUAAUGUCUCUCUCAUCUUGACUGAUUUGGCCUGAGGUUUUUGAUGGAGGAUUUGAUGACAUAUUUCAGUUUUUUGGGGGUGGUGGUGCAGCGAACUUUAUUAAUGGUAUUCAAGAGAGAAGGGAGGGCUCCCUAGGCCCCUCCUGCUAUUAUGGGGUUCUGGGAUAGAAAUUGUGAGGGAGAGACUCAGUGUUCGGGGCCGAGUUGGGACGGGACUCAUCAGCAGCCGAGGGCCUCUCUCUUGCUCUCAGUGUCUUUGCUGGGAUGGGGUGGGUGGUCCAGGGUUUCUUACUCCUUGGAGGUCAUGUAGGCCAUGAGGUUCACCAUCCUGUUGCUGUAGCUGUAUUCACUGUCAUACCAGGAAAUGAGCUUUAUAAAGUUGUCAUUGAGAGCAAUGCCAGCCCCAGCAUCAAAUAGCAUCAGUUUUCUUUGAAAAAAAAUUUAUUUUUAAAACAUUUUUUUAAUGUUUUCCCUAUUUGUUUUUAUAAAUACCACAUGUGUACCUGGUGCCCUGAGAGGCCAGGUUUUUGAUACUCUGGAACUGGACUUUACAGAUAGUUAGUUGUAAGUUACCAUAUAGGUGCUAGAGACUGAAUCUGGCUAUUCCAGGAGAGCGGCACAUGAUUUCACUAAGCUUCUCUCCAGCUGUAGAAUCAGUAUAUUUUCAGAUGAUUUUCUUUCCUGUGCUUUAAAAUUUACUGUCAUCAUUCUUACCACAGAAGUUUGCUUAUAGUAAUCAAUAUUCUUAUUGUAGAUGCUAAAUUUGGACAUUUACUUAUUUUUUGGACUGUAAGAUGAUGAUGGUACAGUACAGUGCUGUGGUACUCUUUAUUGACAAUCUGAAUGAAUUUGGAGACAUAGGAGACAUAUGUCUGGGAUUUUCUUUUCAGAAGACUUCUAGAGAGGUCUAACUGUAGGAAAGGCCCACUCUGAUAUGGGAGGGACUGUAUCAUUUGUAGAGUUACAAGUUGAGCAACAACAUUAAUCUCUCUUUGCUCCCUAACUGCAAGUGCAAUACAACAAAUUCUACUGCCACGUUUUCCCAUCCAGGAAGAACUGUAUUUUCACAAACUGUAAACCAAACCAAGCCUUUCCUUCCUUAAGCUGCUUUGCCAGGUAUGCUGUUAUAGCAACAAGAAAAAUAAUCAAUACAAAAGUUGUAUCAAGGGCUGGAGAGAUGGCUCAGUGGUUAAGAGCACUGACUGCUCUUCCAGAGGUCCUGAGUUCAAAUCCCAGCAACCACAUGGUGGCUCACAACCAUCUGUAAAAUGAGAUCCGAUGCCCUCUUCUAGUGUAUCUGAAGACAGCUACAGUGUACUCAUAUAUAAUAAAUGAAUAAAUAAAUCUUAAAAAAAAGGAAAAAAAAAGUUGUAUCAAGGGGUACGGAUCCUGCCUCAAUAAACCUGAAUGUAUAGUUCACAGGCCUUUGGAAGUGGUCUCUGAAAGAAAUGUGGAAGCGUUUAGAGCUAGACUAGAAAAGCUUCAGAAUGAGCUAAGCAGAGCUUCAGGAGCCAUUCUGGCCAAAGUGUAGAACAGCUGGUACUGACAGAAAAGUGAAAAGGAAAGAUUGUGCUAAACGUUUCAAGGGCAGUAAAACUAGUAGGAAUUAGAAUAAAAGUCAUUCAUAAUGCAAUGUUCAAUAAAUGUGGCUACUUUCUGUCCAUGUUUCAAGAACCUAAGUGUGACUGAAUUCAAUGACCACAGCCUAGAUUGUUUAGCGGUAAAAACUUCAAGUCAACAUAGUAUUCGGCUACUGUAUAGUAUUGCUCAAUACUUACUGCCAGAUCUAAGGAGAAUGAAGACUGAAAAAGUACAGUUUUGGGGAGGAAAGGCACAUCACUAAGCUUAAAGCUGAAGACAAGGCUGGUGUAAAGAAAAAUCACUUUAACAGAUCACAUAUUGAAACGUCAGGAAAAGUAUUCUGAACACAACAUCUAACCUACUAAAAGGCUAGCUUAUAAAAAUGAAAAUUUAUUUGAACGAGAAUGCACGUAAAAGGGCUGCAUGCCUGAAAACAACUGCCUAGUUGUUUACAUGUUUUACAUGUUUAGCCUCUAAGGCAUACUAUAGCAAUAGCAGAAGACAUCUCCAAUAGUCAGAACUUGGGAACAUCAUCCCCAUGGUGCUGGUAUAGCCAAUAUUAGGCUACACAAUAUGUGGAAGGGUAAGAUUCUCGCCACGGAGUCAUUUUGUGAAACUGUAGUGAGGUUCAAAUGGUAACAGAGAUGGUAAAAUGUUGGAGAUGCCAAGACCAUGUAAACUACAUUAAGAAAAGCUGCAGGCAAAAAUAGUCCUAGCCAAAGAGAGGUCAUAUGUGCUGCAGAAAGAAAAAAAUAGUCUACUCAAGGCUACCAAAGUCUAGGUGAUGCUACAUAGCUGCAAGACACUGAGUACAGGGUUUAGUUAUUACCCAGUUGGGUUUUAUUCUGAUUUUUUUCUUGCUAUAACCCUAUACUUACCUUUAAGAACAGAAAUGCUUAUUGUUUGCCUUUGUAUAUUAGAAAUAUAUAAUUUGCUUUAUUUUAUACAGACUUGUAGUUAAUUCUGUCAAGUCCCAGAAGAGACCUGGGAUGUCUCAAUAGCAUUGAUACUACUGAAGACUAUCGAUAGUUGGACUGAAAGCACUUUGCAUUAUGAGAUGGAUGUAACUCUUUUUUUUUUUUGGUUCUUUUUUUUCGGAGCUGGGGACCGAACCCAGGGUCUUGCGCUUCCUAGGUAAGCGCUCUACCACUGAGCUAAAUCCCCAGCCCCGAA
Molecule: non-coding RNA, 7063 nt
Organism: Rattus norvegicus (Norway rat)
Lineage: Eukaryota; Metazoa; Chordata; Mammalia; Rodentia; Muridae
Source: RefSeq, a predicted model, not a curated record